CCUACGGGUGGCAGCAGUGGGGAAUAUUGGACAAUGGGGGCAACCCUGAUCCAGCCAUGCCGCGUGUGUGAAGAAGGCCCUCGGGUUGUAAAGCACUUUCAGUGAGGAAGAACGCCUGGUGGUUAAUACCCAUCAGGAAAGACAUCACUCACAGAAGAAGCACCGGCUAACUCCGUGCCAGCUGCCGCGGUAAUACGGAGGGUGCGAGCGUUAAUCGGAAUUACUGGGCGUAAAGCGCGCGUAGGUGGCUUGAUAAGCCGGUUGUGAAAGCCCCGGGCUCAACCUGGGAACGGCAUCCGGAACUGUCAAGCUAGAGUGCAGGAGAGGAAGGUAGAAUUCCCGGUGUAGCGGUGAAAUGCGUAGAGAUCGGGAGGAAUACCAGUGGCGAAGGCGGCCUUCUGGACUGACACUGACACUGAGGUGCGAAAGCGUGGGUAGCAAACAGGAUUAGAUACCCUGGUAGUC
This 465-nucleotide ribosomal RNA is filed under the name Vreelandella stevensii. RNAcentral's name for it is "partial 16S ribosomal RNA". It matches the Rfam family "Bacterial small subunit ribosomal RNA", at positions 338 to 795 of the family's 1533-position model. The record is from RNAcentral. Lineage: Bacteria; Pseudomonadati; Pseudomonadota; Gammaproteobacteria; Oceanospirillales; Halomonadaceae.